This 72-nucleotide non-coding RNA is filed under the name Glycomyces terrestris. Lineage: Bacteria; Bacillati; Actinomycetota; Actinomycetes; Glycomycetales; Glycomycetaceae. The record is from RNAcentral.
AGGCGAAACCCGGCCUUCGGGCCGUGGUCCGCCGGUGGAUGGCUUCCCCGGCGCUGAUGAGCCAAGCCGAAC